Molecule: ribosomal RNA, 253 nt
Filed under: uncultured bacterium
Lineage: Bacteria
Description: partial 16S ribosomal RNA
Rfam family: Bacterial small subunit ribosomal RNA
Source: RNAcentral
UACAGAGGGCUCAAGCGUUGUUCGGAUUCAUUGGGCGUAAAGGGUGCGUAGGCGGUGGGGCAAGUCAGGUGUGAAAUCCCGGAGCUCAACUCCGGAACUGCACUUGAUACUGCUUUACUAGAGUACUGGAGAGGAGACUGGAAUUUACGGUGUAGCAGUGAAAUGCGUAGAUAUCGUAAGGAAGACCAGUGGCGAAGGCGAGUCUCUGGACAGUUACUGACGCUGAGGCACGAAGGCCAGGGGAGCAAACGGG